This is a non-coding RNA of Brachypodium distachyon (stiff brome), 125 nucleotides long. The record is from Rfam. Lineage: Eukaryota; Viridiplantae; Streptophyta; Magnoliopsida; Poales; Poaceae.
AAGGUACUCCCUCCGGCCGGAAUUACUUGUCGAAAUAUUACAUAUAUCUAAACGUUUUUUACACAUAGAUACAUCCGUAUUGGGGCAAAUUUGAGACAAAUAAUACCGGUCGGAGGGAGUAUAAA